CUGCCUGGGGUGUGCGUGAGCCCUCAUAUAUGUCUAACCUACAUUUUUUCUAGGGAAUCCGAUUUGACUCCGACGGAUGCUGGGUCGUCUCGAACGAAUAGCAGAAAGCGGACUUAGGGCACCCACCUGCGAGUUGCAGGUUUUAGACAUAAGAGGGGAACGGCAUCCUGGAC
Molecule: non-coding RNA, 173 nt
Filed under: bovine gut metagenome
Description: 6S / SsrS RNA
Rfam family: 6S / SsrS RNA
About the family: E. coli 6S RNA was the first non coding RNA to be sequenced, but its function was unknown until recently.
Source: RNAcentral